RNAcentral lists this ribosomal RNA (502 nucleotides) under uncultured bacterium. RNAcentral describes it as "bacterial SSU rRNA". It matches the Rfam family "Bacterial small subunit ribosomal RNA", at positions 29 to 517 of the family's 1533-position model. The record is from RNAcentral.
AGUGAACGCUGGCGGCAGGCCUAAUACAUGCAAGUCGAACGGCAGCACAGCAGAGCUUGCUCUGUGGGUGGCGAGUGGCGGACGGGUGAGGAAUACGUGGGAAUCUGCCCAGUCGUGGGGGAUAACGUAGGGAAACUUACGCUAGUACCGCAUGCGCCCCUUCGGGGGAAAGCCGGGGACCUUCGGGCCUGGCGCGAUUGGAUGAGCCCACGUCGGAUUAGCUAGUUGGCGGGGUAAAGGCCCACCAAGGCGACGAUCCGUAGCUGGUCUGAGAGGAUGAUCAGCCACACUGGAACUGAGACACGGUCCAGACUCCUACGGGAGGCAGCAGUAGGGAAUAUUGGACAAUGGGCGCAAAGCCUGAUCCAGCCAUGCCGCGUGAGUGAAGAAGGACCCUCGGGUUGUAAAGCUCUUUUGUCCGGAAAGAAAAGCGCCGGGUUAAUACCCUGUGUCCUGACGGUACCGGAAGAAUAAGCACCGGCUAACUUCGUGCCAGCAGCCG